This 429-nucleotide ribosomal RNA is filed under the name uncultured bacterium. RNAcentral's name for it is "bacterial SSU rRNA". It matches the Rfam family "Bacterial small subunit ribosomal RNA", at positions 355 to 776 of the family's 1533-position model. The record is from RNAcentral.
UGGGGAAUCUUGGACAAUGGGGGAAACCCUGAUCCAGCGAUGCCGCGUGUGUGAAGAAGGCCUUAGGGUUGUAAAGCACUUUUAGUGGGGAGGAGAGUACGUUUAUGAAUAGUAGACGUAUGAGACGUUACCCAAAGAAAAAGCACCGGCUAACUCUGUGCCAGCAGCCGCGGUAAUACAGAGGGUGCGAGCGUUAAUCGGAAUGACUGGGCGUAAAGGGCGCGUAGGCGGUUAAGGAAGUCGGAUGUGAAAUACCUGGGCUCAACCUGGGUGCGGCAUCCGAAACUUUUUGACUAGAGUACAGGAGAGGGAAGUGGAAUUUCCGGUGUAGCGGUGAAAUGCGUAGAUAUCGGAAGGAACACCAGUGGCGAAGGCGACUUUCUGGCCUGUAACUGACGCUGAGGCGCGAAAGUGUGGGGAUCAAACAGG